CCCUUGCGUGAUCCAUCCACAAGGAAGAGGUGGAGACAGACGGAAGAGAGAAAGAAAGAGAGCGCGCAAGGGUUUUGUGCAGAUUCAAUUAAGAAGUAGAUAAUUGGUCAUUUUAGAUCAACGUAUGUUUUCACCUAGACGGAUAUAAAUAAAGGUUAUGAUGCAGUUCAUGCUGCUUUUCAGUCGCCAGGGGAAGCUGAGGCUCCAGAAGUGGUAUGUCCCGCUGUCAGACAAGGAGAAGAAAAAGAUCACCAGGGAACUCGUGCAGACAGUGUUGGCCCGGAAACCCAAAAUGUGCAGCUUCCUGGAGUGGCGUGACCUCAAGAUUGUUUACAAAAGGUACGCAAGUUUGUACUUCUGCUGUGCAAUUGAAGAUCAGGAUAAUGAGCUCAUAACUCUUGAGAUAAUUCACCGCUACGUAGAGCUACUGGAUAAGUACUUUGGCAGUGUGUGCGAACUUGACAUAAUCUUUAACUUCGAAAAGGCAUACUUCAUCCUGGAUGAGUUCCUGCUGGGUGGUGAAGCUCAGGAGACCUCGAAGAAAAACGUCUUGAAAGCCAUCGAGCAGGCAGACCUGUUACAGGAGAGGCAGAGUGAAGAUUGGGGAGGUUUAUCAACCGACGAUGUCUUAUAAUUGGGAGAGAUCUGAGGCUUUGACCUCUUAUGCUCCCCAUCCCCCUUCCAGACUAUUGGAAGCCGAGACCCCACGCAGUGUUCUUGAAGAAAUUGGACUGACAUAACCCUGCACUUCCAUCCCAAUACACUCUUUGUUUACUGCCUUUGUUUCCAUGUAACGCUAGCUGUAUUAUGGUUGUCAGUAUUAACAUCCAUCUCACCCACUACUAUUAUUUCUUAUGCAUACGUGAGAUUAUAUUUCCCCUCAAAAUUAGUAUGAGGAACAAAGUGAUUACCAGAAGAUCCAUUUUCAGAUUUCUUUUUUUCUUUUUUUUUUUUUUUUAAAUAAUGCCUUAAGAUAUUUGAAUUGGAUUAGAUGUUUUUUAUGUUUAGUGUCUGUCGUUAUUUUGAGUGUAGUGUGAUUGCACCUUAAGAACAGAAUAACUGACUGCACUUCAUUUUUAAGGGUCAGAGUAAUUCAGGAUAGAGGAGGGGUUAUUCUGGAUUUCGGCAGCUUUUUUAAAUUAAAUACACAGAUACACUUUCAGUUGUUUAGUAUUGUGUUUUUCCCUUGUAGGCUUUCUUAAAGGAAAUGGAUUCAAGGUUUUAGAGAACGUACUCAAAAUUAAAAAUGCAGUUUUAGGACCAACACCAGUUUACAAAUAUAUUGGUACUCUAGUGUAGGAGAAAACUUAUAUUUCAGGGCAUCUUAAGGGUUUACAACCAACAAACACUGUGCUAGUAUUUAAUUAAUAUUAUACUUUUUUUUUUUUAAACUAUUACACAAAAAUAAAACAUUGUGUGAAGACCAGUGUAUUAGAAUAUAAACAACUGAACUGGUAUAUAUAUAAGGGAGGUGUGAAAGGGAUUUGUUAAUGAAACCAAAGAAUUCUAACUGUUGUCAUUUUUUCCUUAGGCAGAUGCAUUACUAUGGGUAAAAACUAUGAGCUGUGUAUAUGGAAGUAAAUAUCUCUUCUCGAUUUAUGGUGUGGACCUGAAAGCACAACUAAAUGUUCAAGAUUACUGCCUGAGACAUGUUUUGAAAUCUUAAAUUUUAAAGUCUUACUGUAUGUAUUUUGUUGUUAAAUACUAACCAUCAGUAACCUCAUAUCAAAAUAUGUUUUUCACAGAUUACAUUUUUUGUUUAUUUCUUUUUUAACCCUACAUUAAUUCAGCAAAACCUUGUGUGUAUUUCCAUGAGAUGGUCUGUUUGUUAAUGUAGUUAAUCUCACCCUCACCCUCCUGCUGGAACAAACCAAUUUGGGUUUACUCUUGGUCAUCACCUUGUAUGUUAUGCAGUGAAAAGCUGAGGUGUGUGUUGUUGUACUUCUGUCUCUGUGAACAAUGUGUUGCAAUGUUUGGUGUUCAAAUGGAAAUAAAGUUUCUUUACACCUUGA
RNA transcript from Acipenser ruthenus (sterlet), 2012 nucleotides. It is a transcript of the gene named AP-1 complex subunit sigma-2, with no coding region annotated. The transcript is spliced from 6 exons. NCBI's taxonomy places the organism in Eukaryota, Metazoa, Chordata, Actinopteri, Acipenseriformes, Acipenseridae. The record is from RefSeq and is a predicted model, not a curated record.